This 449-nucleotide ribosomal RNA is filed under the name uncultured bacterium. RNAcentral's name for it is "bacterial SSU rRNA". It matches the Rfam family "Bacterial small subunit ribosomal RNA", at positions 28 to 478 of the family's 1533-position model. The record is from RNAcentral.
GAUGAACGCUGGCGGCGUGCUUAACACAUGCAAGUCGAACGGGAAACCUUUUAUUGAAGCUUCGGCAGAUUUAGAUUGUUUCUAGUGGCGGACGGGUGAGUAACGCGUGGGUAACCUGCCUUAUACAGGGGGAUAACAGUCAGAAAUGACUGCUAAUACCGCAUAAGCGCACAGAGCUGCAUGGCUCGGUGUGAAAAACUCCGGUGGUAUAAGAUGGACCCGCGUUGGAUUAGCUAGUUGGUGAGGUAACGGCCCACCAAGGCGACGAUCCAUAGCCGGCCUGAGAGGGUGAACGGCCACAUUGGGACUGAGACACGGCCCAGACUCCUACGGGAGGCAGCAGUGGGGAAUAUUGCACAAUGGGGGAAACCCUGAUGCAGCGACGCCGCGUGAAGGAAGAAGUAUCUCGGUAUGUAAACUUCUAUCAGCAGGGAAGAAAAUGACGGUAC